AGUGAGGGAGUGAUUGAAAUGGAAGAUUGUGGAAAGAAAAAGGCGCGCUCUCUCCCUCCCUCGCUGCUCUCGUGUUCUUCUCAACUCCAAUUCGCAUCUGUAGACUGCACUUGAAUCAAUCUGAAGAUGGAUUCACUAAGCCCUGCCGUCUUUGUCAACUCUGAACUGUUACCCUUCUGUGUUGGAAGAAGGGUUCGUACUGUGAUCCAAGUUAUGCGAUCUGACGGUGUAGUUGUCAUUGGAAAAUCACCUGAUGAGAAACAAAUUAUUGUAAAAACAUCACCUGAUUCACCCCUACCAUCUCCUCAUACGGGUUUUGUAGAAGUUAUUGGUAUUGUUAGCAGUGACAAGUCCAUCAAAGCUGAGUUAUGGACCAACUUUGGCGAUGAAAUUGAUAUGUUCAGCUACCAUAAGCUUUGUCAGCUUGCAAAUGGAGAAUUCAAACACUUGUUCCUCUGACUUGAGUUUACAACUUACAACAAGCUUAUCUGACUAUAAAAAGACAUCUCUAUCAGACGCAAAUGGAGGAUUUAAACAAAUGUUUUCGUUUUCAUGAGAGGAAAUAGUGUGCUAAAUUUGGAGGCACUUGAACUAGUGAACAAGAGCAUCAGAUUACUAUUUUUUUUGGUAAACAUUUAUAACUGAAGUGAAAGUUAAGAAUUUUCAACAGAAACUGUAUAACUGCUGAGAGUAAAAUGUAAUUGGGGAUGUUAAUAUGGUCAUGGUUAUGUUUCUGGUUGA
This is an RNA transcript of Vicia villosa (hairy vetch), 741 nucleotides long. It is a transcript of the gene named replication protein A 14 kDa subunit B-like, with no coding region annotated. Lineage: Eukaryota; Viridiplantae; Streptophyta; Magnoliopsida; Fabales; Fabaceae. The record is from RefSeq and is a predicted model, not a curated record. The transcript has 4 exons.